GACGAACCUUUGAGGCGUGCUUAACACAUGCAAGUCGAGCGGAAAGGCCCUGCUUUUGUGGGGUGCUCGAGUGGCGAACGGGUGAGUAACACGUGAGUAACCUGCCCUUGACUUUGGGAUAACUUCAGGAAACUGGGGCUAAUACCGGAUAGGAGCUCCUGCUGCAUGGUGGGGGUUGGAAAGUUUCGGCGGUUGGGGAUGGACUCGCGGCUUAUCAGCUUGUUGGUGGGGUAGUGGCUUACCAAGGCUUUGACGGGUAGCCGGCCUGAGAGGGUGACCGGCCACAUUGGGACUGAGAUACGGCCCAGACUCCUACGGGAGGCAGCAGUGGGGAAUAUUGCACAAUGGGCGGAAGCCUGAUGCAGCAACGCCGCGUGCGGGAUGACGGCCUUCGGGUUGUAAACCGCUUUCGCCUGUGACGAAGCGUGAGUGACGGUAAUGGGUAAAGAAGCACCGGCUAACUACGUGCCAGCAGCCGCGGUGAUACGUAGGGUGCGAGCGUUGUCCGGAUUUAUUGGGCGUAAAGGGCUCGUAGGUGGUUGAUCGCGUCGGAAGUGUAAUCUUGGGGCUUAACCCUGAGCGUGCUUUCGAUACGGGUUGACUUGAGGAAGGUAGGGGAGAAUGGAAUUCCUGGUGGAGCGGUGGAAUGCGCAGAUAUCAGGAGGAACACCAGUGGCGAAGGCGGUUCUCUGGGCCUUUCCUGACGCUGAGGAGCGAAAGCGUGGGGAGCGAACAGGCUUAGAUACCCUGGUAGUCCACGCUGUAAACGGUGGGUACUAGGUGUGGGGUCCAUUCCACGGGUUCCGUGCCGUAGCUAACGCUUUAAGUACCCCGCCUGGGGAGUACGGCCGCAAGGCUAAAACUCAAAGGAAUUGACGGGGCCCCGCACAAGCGGCGGAGCAUGCGGAUUAAUUCGAUGCAACGCGUAGAACCUUACCUGGGUUUGACAUGGAUCGGGAGUGCUCAGAGAUGGGUGUGCCUCUUUUGGGGUCGGUUCACAGGUGGUGCAUGCCUGUCGUCAGCUCGUGUCGUGAGAUGUUGGGUUAAGUCCCGCAACGAGCGCAACCCUUGUUCACUGUUGCCAGCACGUUAUGGUGGGGACUCAGUGGAGACCGCCGGGGUCAACUCGGAGGAAGGUGGGGAUGACGUCAAGUCCUCAUGCCCCUUAUGUCCAGGGCUUCACGCAUGCUACAAUGGCUGGUACAGAGAGUGGCGAGCCUGUGAGGGUGAGCGAAUCUCGGAAAGCCGGUCUCAGUUCGGAUUGGGGUCUGCAACUCGACCUCAUGAAGUCGGAGUCGCUAGUAAUCGCAGAUCGGCAACGCUGCGGUGAAUACGUUCCCGGGGC
This 1345-nucleotide ribosomal RNA is filed under the name uncultured bacterium. Its description in RNAcentral is "bacterial SSU rRNA". It matches the Rfam family "Bacterial small subunit ribosomal RNA", at positions 28 to 1380 of the family's 1533-position model. The record is from RNAcentral.